Long non-coding RNA from Melanotaenia boesemani (Boeseman's rainbowfish), 103 nucleotides. RefSeq lists it as uncharacterized. NCBI's taxonomy places the organism in Eukaryota, Metazoa, Chordata, Actinopteri, Atheriniformes, Melanotaeniidae. The record is from RefSeq and is a predicted model, not a curated record. The transcript is spliced from 3 exons.
UUCACAAAUUUACUGUAUCCCAAUAAUUCCCUCUUUUGACCUCUCACAAAGAGGUCAAUACAACUAUAUGUGAAUUUUACACCACAGAAUCACACUCACUGUC